RNAcentral lists this non-coding RNA (548 nucleotides) under Homo sapiens (human). The record is from RNAcentral. Lineage: Eukaryota; Metazoa; Chordata; Mammalia; Primates; Hominidae.
GUCUUAUGUUCAAUUUUUACCCUAUUUUGCCAGAAAAUUCAACAGUGCAAACUGGCAAUGAAUAUUUAUUUUAAAAUACAACCACGGACUCCUAAGAACACCAAAGAACAAGAAUCACUUACAUGCCACUUCCAGAGACGCAUUUCGACUCACUGCUUCACCAAGAUAGUUCCUCGCAACACAAACGUAGCUUCCUUCAUCAGGUUUACUCCUGCGCCCGUGCACGAUGCGCAAGAAGAAUAAGGAUCCGCUGGGCAGAAGCAUCCUGUGGGACCGGGGAUCGUCCUUGUCAGUCUCCACUCGCUCCCCAUCUUUGUACCACUCAAUGGUGGGCGUUGGCCGGCCCUCCGCCUUGCAGUUCAGAGUCGUGGGCUCGCCCUUAGAGACGAUGACAUCGGAAGGAUGCUCCACAAUCCGCGGGGGAAAGUCCUCCUGGCGAAGACGCGAUCCCCCCUUCCAAGGUUUUCCUUUCCAGGGGGUCCGGGUCAGCUUGCUCAGAGUUGGUCCAGAGAGGAAGAGCAUCAAAACGAAGAGAAGUUCAAGCCUAG